Anthonomus grandis grandis is the source of this 1337-nucleotide long non-coding RNA. RefSeq lists it as uncharacterized. Lineage: Eukaryota; Metazoa; Arthropoda; Insecta; Coleoptera; Curculionidae. The record is from RefSeq and is a predicted model, not a curated record. The transcript has 2 exons.
CCUUGCCAUAUCUACUGAUUUGGUAGAGACGCCACUAAAAAGCACCCGAUUCCCGGCGGUGAUCGUGUAUGUUCGGAGAAAAAUUCGGUCGUUUGACGUGAAUGACAAGAAUAACGACACGAAUGUUCCCGCGUUUGUUAGUUGUUUACUUUCGUAAAAAAGCUCCAACUAAUUUGAUCAAUUAUUGCGAUUAUACUGAACUUGUUUCUUUGUGAAAUAUUGACCAUAUUGUUGCUUAUAGUGCUUUAAAAUAAUACCUGAAAAGCUGUAUUAAUUCCAAUUCAGCGAUUUUAGCUGUAAAGAUGGACAGCCCUACUCAAAACUAUUAGAAUCAGGACCAAACUAUCAACAAAAAUUUGUGCCACCUAUGCAGUAAAAUGUUUUCUUCCAUUUCAGCUAAGAACAAACAUAUUAAAGUUAUUCAUAAGCAGCAGCUCCUAGAUAACCCAAAGUCACACAUUUCUUGUCCCUUAUGCAAAGAGACUAAGUAUUCUUGUGAGACUUAUCAAAGACUUGAAGCUCAUUUACAGGUUAAGGCAUGAUAUCAAAAUAGAGUCCUCAACUUUCCAUUUUUCCAGCGAAGAAAGAUUUGAGGAAUGGUUAAGAGAGCAUAAAAUAAGCACAAACUAUGCACUUGUUCGCACAAGGAAAAUUGAAGACAAGAUUGAAAAAUUAUAUUGUUGCAAUCGAAGCGAUUUUAGAGGUAAUUUGUAGCAAUUUCAAUUGUUCAUUAUGGUGUGUGAGCAAAGGAAGGGAAGCGAUUCUGUUUUAGGUGAACUCCUUGAGGAAUGUUCUUUCAAUAAUAUUGAAGCUAGCCAUAGUCUAGAAAUUGAAAUUGAAAGUGUAUCAAACUUUUUAAGAUCUUUAAAUGAUGAAACUUAUGAUAAGUGCAUGAGACAACUGACAUCAAUGAUGGAACAGAUAAAUAAGACAAAUGCAAGUAAACGAAAAAUGGACAAACAAGUUUAUUUUCCAUCAAAGAAGAAGAAGGAGCAGUAAAUAAAAAUAAUUCAUUGUAUAUUUUUUUCUAUUUAUCAGUAUUUUUUUUAUAUAAUAGUAGGUAUAUUUUUAUAGGUUUAACUAUAUAUGUAUGUAUAUGUGUAUUAUAAUUUUUUAUGUAAGUUUUAGGCAAAUAUUUGAAAAAACAUUACCUAUCUCAUAAGUUUCUUGCAGUUUCUUCUUAGGAGUAUUAAUCGAAACUGCGAAUUGUAAAUUAGUAUUUUAGCAUAAAAUAAUUAAGUUUAUUUUCAAAUCAGUCAUAUACAUGUCUUUGCAGCAUUUAUAAAAUAAAACUAUUUAAUAUAUGAUACAUUUAUAUAACAGUAUAACUAAUUAAA